This 297-nucleotide unclassified non-coding RNA is filed under the name Hevea brasiliensis (rubber tree). The record is from RNAcentral. Lineage: Eukaryota; Viridiplantae; Streptophyta; Magnoliopsida; Malpighiales; Euphorbiaceae.
AUAGAUUCCAUAGUCAAAACCACCAUUAGUAAAACAAGCAACUGCAUCAGAAUUGUUCUUCCACUGAUCCCAUGUUGUAUCCCACCUAAACUUUCUGUAGUCGUUGCCAUGACCACAGUCUAUAAAUUCCACACACCUCGCUAUCUUUGAUUCACGACAAGCAUCUCGAAGACAUUGAUUCACCCUCUGUAAACCAAAAAGAUACCAGCAUGAGCCCACCACAUGGCUUGAUAAAACAAAAGUGAGAAGAUUUAUGAAAAAAUUUGCCCAUGCAGACUCAAAUAUAAAACCACUUGG